This is a non-coding RNA of Doryrhamphus excisus (bluestripe pipefish), 3761 nucleotides long. The record is from RefSeq and is a predicted model, not a curated record. NCBI's taxonomy places the organism in Eukaryota, Metazoa, Chordata, Actinopteri, Syngnathiformes, Syngnathidae.
CUUCAGCGUGGUAAGUCUCUCCUGAGAAAAGGAACAUUGUUGUUAACUUUGAAUAGUAUGUGAUGGCAUGACCUUCAACAUAUACGGUUGAAACUCAUAGAAAUAAACAUAAAAAAAUGCUGUAUAUUCGAUAUGUACCUUGCGUGUGAUAGCGAGACGUUGACAGUCAGCGAUCUCUCUCAGUAAAUGACUCUGAUUUUCCUUUUCCUCAUCUUGGUCAAUCUCUUUUUCUAAUUUCUGGAACUCCAAAUCCUCCAGGCUUUUGGUUUGCUCCUCUGCUUCCUGUAACAGACAUGUUUAUGCAAAUUACAAUCCAAAAUGUGGAUCGCAGACUCCAUCAAAAUCAGGGAAAAUUUCGUGUUCAUUGAAACGCACCAUAACACACCACGUGAUAGCUCUUCUCUUAUUGGUCAGCGGAGACGGACUCAGCAGUGUAAACAGGAUGUAAUUCGCGCCAGUAAUCACAACAAAGAAUAAACUUGCCAUUUUGGAACAACUGGUCUUUAAUCUUCUGCUCCAGCUCUUCAAUGUUGUUCACAACCUGGAUCCUCUCUUCUUCAAUAUGCGUUACUUCCUGUUUCAGCUGCGCACUCUCCAACACCUGCAAACCAUAUAAGGAAGAAAAAGAAGAGAUGGUUGAUGUGAGACUUUUGUGGUCCUGCUGUCUGGAGAGCGAGCCUACAGGAAAGAGGUGGGCCUCAUGUCAGGAGUGAGCGAUUUUACUGCAUCACCCAGACUACAAGCCGGCAGGGUAAUGCAGAGAGUCAACAAACAAGACGAUGUAAACAGUGUGCUCAAUGCAACUUCAUUAAAUGUGUGCAGCGGCAUGAGGAUUUUAUGCAUCGGGUUCAAACUCUAGUUAAAAAACAUUGGUUUCCAACUUCAUUCUAACUAUUAUCAAAUGUCAAACAGCACUUUAAAGACUAUGCCAAUAGCCAACGAAUGGAACAAAACUCCAUACACGUCCAUACACACCAUAAAUACAUACUGUAUUUGCAUACAUACUGUACACAGGCUAGUGUUACUUCCCAGCAGUGUUAAGUCAAAGAAAACAAAAAAACAACAAUAAUUUGCAAGUGAAAGUUCAUAUUCACCACAACCUGGACGUGCAUCUCUGUGAGCAUCUCUCCGUCUUCCAUUUACAUGGGUGACCCGACUUUCCACAAUAAAAGCUCCCCUCCUCACCUUAGUUGUGUGUUGCAUCGUCAGAGCUGCUGUCCCUGCUGGUUUGGAUGUGAAAUCCUCUUGUCCCUGCACGGACGACGGAGCAGAGUAAAAAACCCAAAGUCCUUCUGUGACAAAGGAUCAGACAGGAGACCCUUCCCACCUCCCCGGAGAGGGGAGGGAGGGAGAGAGGGAGAAGAGCAGCCUGAUGAAUGUUACUUUGCUGAAUCUGGUAGCACUGUUGCCCCUGUUGGUGGUUUGAGGUACUGCACAGAAAUAAGCAUUUUAUGAAAUCAGCAGGUUAAAAGUACCUGGAAAUAUACCAACAUCAACAAACUAUAGAAAUGAAAAAUAGAUAACUUUUUGGAUGCAACCCUAGGGUUUAGUUCUUGGCACUUCUUUUUUUUGGCUCCCAGAAAUACAGUAGAAGCAAAAAAUGCAGAAUACUCCAGAUACAUGAAACCUGUACUUCUCUGUAAAACAAGACCGAUCCACAGUAUACAUUUAGGUAGUAAAAUAUCUUGAGUUUUUGGUUUGUUGUUUUUCUGCGGUAUGUGGAGGCGGGGGUGGCCUCUUUGGCUGCUUUAUAAAGAGAGAGAAAACUUCUCUCCCCCUCAUGACGUCCAACCACACAGAUGGGGAGCAGAACCACUUAAAAUGUACUUUGCUUGUGGUGUAAAUAUAUUCAUUUGUGAUUAAAUUUAUAGCAAGUAUUGUUGGAUACAGGUCAGGUAGAUACAAAGAUGCAGGAAAAGCUUACAUAAGGAAAAUCCCCCAAUCCUCCCGGAACUAAAACUUCAAUGACAUCAUGGGCAGGGGGGUUGUGUCGAGCCUGGACAAGAUGAUUACUUCCAGACUCAGACCUUGGAUCUUUGACAUGAAUACACACACACACACACACACCUUCACAUCUUGUGAAUUGCAGAGGAUGCAUUUUUCAAUGGGGUGGAACUUUUAAGAAGACAUUUUGGUUAUGACAUGCACCUACACAAAGUUGAUAACACUCGGGGGUGGACCGUAUUUGUUUGUAUAAGCUAAGUGUUCUACUACUAAAUCGCUGCACACAGAAGGGUGACAAUUGGUCUACAGAAGAACCCCUGCUGUGUUGCAUGUGAUAUUAUUAACCUGACAAAUACACCCCAUGUUGGCGCUGUUUUUAAAGGAGACCUAUUAUACCUUUUUCCACUUUUCUGACCUAUAAAUUUAGUUAAAAUGUUGCAUGAGGUUUGUGCAUUUGAACGUUAGCCGUGAAAGAAGUUUGGGAUGGCUUUGAAUGCUUGGUUUCAGACCUUUUUUCUAACACUGGCUCCUUGUGAUGUCACAAUGAGCCUGGUUUCCUUAUAUGGGCAUGCACAGUAAGCCAGAUACGCUCGAGGACUGCCCUCCCCACAGGUCUGCUUUGCUGUUUACGGUUGUUAGCUAUGGCUCCCAGCAAAUCUUUGUACACAGCAGAGUGGGCGUGCUUGGGGGCAGGCUGUGGGUGGAAUAAAUUAAAACAGACUGUUUGGGAAAUCUAAGGAAAUACAGCUGGAAUUGAUUCUGGAAGAUCUAGAAAGUUUUCUGUGCAGGUUAUUGUGUGUGGUUGCUCUAUAGGAGUCCACAACUCAAUACAAAGUGCUGAUAAAUGAGCAUUAUAGUUCCCCUUUAAACUCCAAAGUUCAACCAUAUAUAGUAGGACGGAUUGACUUGAAAUUUCUCACACAGCUCAAUGCACUCUUCAAAACACUCACUCUAACUUAAGGGUGUUUAGCUAAAUUACCGCAAAUUUUGGUGCACACAUUUUAGGUACUGACAAACCAAAUAUCUGUAAAAUUUGAGCAAAAGUGUCCUUGCUGGGACACUCAUUGGCCAUAAGUCACUGAUGGUUUGUCUAAUCUGUGCUACAUGUACACUAGCAUCGUCUUCCAAAGCAUAUGGAGUCAUAUGCUCAUAAGGGGCACCACAAUUAUAUAUGGACCCUCAAGUGUGCAGAACUGAAAAAAGUCAGACAUGACACCCCCUCAAAACCUUUUUUAUUGGAAAUGGUCACAUGUUUAAAUUAUGUUCUGGAGCUUCAGUUGUUUUGCACUCUUAAUAGAAUCACCCACCAAACAUAUUUUUUUACAAUUUGAGGGCUAUAAAAUAACAGUUAUGGGACUCAUCAGGGCCUCAUUUAACAAUGUCACCUUUUUGCCUAUACACAGAUGUGCUUGCCACAAAGCACUGGAAUGUUACACCUCCUCCAGACUGGGGGAAGAUUGGCUACCAAGCGGCAAGUGAUUAUGCAUUGGUUUAAGUCUAACCAUAUGCCCCAGUGAUUCCAAUUCAGAGCAGACGGCAAGAAAAAAGUGAAUGGAGAAAAAAAUGGGGUGUAUUUCUGGGAAGCCUUAUGAAAAUGAUUGGUCUUUAUUUAGUGUCUGACAUAUUAUUUACAUCUGCUGCAAAAUUCUCAGGGUGAGUAUUGACAAACUGCUGACAAGCGUUUGGUCCCUCUUCUGGUUUUUCUUCUUCUUUCCUUGAAUCGUCCGCAUUAUAAUCGUCUGUUACAUUUCUGCCGGGUGGUCCAUCCAACACCACGGGUUGUAGGUUCAAUCCUCUGCAGUCAACAGCCUGUUGCC